CCUACGGGGUGCAGCAGUCGAGAAUCAUUCACAAUGGGGGAAACCCUGAUGGUGCGACGCCGCGUGGGGGAAUGAAGGUCUUCGGAUUGUAAACCCCUGUCAUGUGGGAGCAAAUUAAAAAGAUAGUACCACAAGAGGAAGAGACGGCUAACUCUGUGCCAGCAGCCGCGGUAAUACAGAGGUCUCAAGCGUUGUUCGGAAUCACUGGGCGUAAGGCGUGCGUAGGCUGUUUCGUAAGUCGUGUGUGAAAGGCGCGGGCUCAACCCGCGGACGGCACAUGAUACUGCGAUACUAGAGUAAUGGAGGGGGAACCGGAAUUCUCGGUGUAGCAGUGAAAUGCGUAGAUAUCGAGAGGAACACUCGUGGCGAAGGCGGGUUCCUGGACAUUAACUGACGCUGAGGCACGAAGGCCAGGGGAGCGAAAGGGAUUAGAUACCCGAGUAGUC
This 446-nucleotide ribosomal RNA is filed under the name uncultured bacterium. Its description in RNAcentral is "partial 16S ribosomal RNA". It matches the Rfam family "Bacterial small subunit ribosomal RNA", at positions 338 to 795 of the family's 1533-position model. The record is from RNAcentral.